GUCCAGCUGACGGUUCCCAACUAGGACGAAACGCGCGUCCCGGAU
Molecule: non-coding RNA, 45 nt
Filed under: Schistosoma margrebowiei
Lineage: Eukaryota; Metazoa; Platyhelminthes; Trematoda; Strigeidida; Schistosomatidae
Source: RNAcentral